GACGAACGCUGGCGGCGUGCUUAACACAUGCAAGUCGAACGGUGAACUCCGCUUGCGGGGGGAUCAGUGGCGAACGGGUGAGUAACACGUGGGCAACCUGCCCUCAGCUCUGGGAUAACUCCAAGAAAUUGGGGCUAAUACCGGAUAUGACCGCUGACCGCAUGGUCUGGUGGUGGAAAGAUUUAUCGGCUGGGGAUGGGCCCGCGGCCUAUCAGCUUGUUGGUGGGGUAGUGGCCUACCAAGGCGACGACGGGUAGCCGGCCUGAGAGGGUGACCGGCCACACUGGGACUGAGACACGGCCCAGACUCCUACGGGAGGCAGCAGUGGGGAAUAUUGCGCAAUGGGCGAAAGCCUGACGCAGCGACGCCGCGUGGGGGAUGACGGCCUUCGGGUUGUAAACCUCUUUCAGCAGGGACGAAGCGAAAGCGACGGUACCUGCAGAAGAAGCACCGGCCAACUACGUG
Molecule: ribosomal RNA, 465 nt
Filed under: uncultured bacterium
Lineage: Bacteria
Description: partial 16S ribosomal RNA
Rfam family: Bacterial small subunit ribosomal RNA
Source: RNAcentral